This 502-nucleotide long non-coding RNA is filed under the name Homo sapiens (human). RNAcentral describes it as "novel transcript". The record is from RNAcentral. Lineage: Eukaryota; Metazoa; Chordata; Mammalia; Primates; Hominidae.
ACACAGAAAGUAAAUGAAGAAAAAAGUUAGCACUGAAGUACAAUGCAUACUCCUUAGGUUCUUAAACUCUACCAGUCUAACAGAAAGCACCAAGAUACAGAUGCCAAAGUCAGAAAAAAUACAAAGCAGCUCAGAAUCAAUAUCAUAUAUCUUAUUCAAGGUAAAUUUUAUGUUAGAUUCUUUGUCUGGCAUUUGGGAGGCUAAAUUAACUUAGGAGGCUAGAGAUCCCAUCUCUACUUUUUUUUUCUUUUUGAGAUGGAGUCUUGCUCUGUUGCCCAGGCUGGAGUGCAGCGGCAUGAUCUCGGCUCACCGCAAGCUCCGCCUCGCCGCUUGACGCCAUUCUCCUGCUUCAGCCUCGGAGUAGCUGGGACUACAGGAGAAUCACUUGAACCUGGGAGGCGGAGGUUGCAGCGAGCGGAGGUUGCAGUGAGCCAAGAUCGCGCCAUUGCACUCCAGCCUGGGAGACAAGAGUGAAACUCCAUCUCAAAAAAAUAAAAAAUAA